This 379-nucleotide ribosomal RNA is filed under the name uncultured bacterium. Its description in RNAcentral is "bacterial SSU rRNA". It matches the Rfam family "Bacterial small subunit ribosomal RNA", at positions 521 to 896 of the family's 1533-position model. The record is from RNAcentral.
UGACACGUAGGCACCAAGCGUUGUCCGGAUUUAUUGGGCGUAAAGAGCUUGUAGGCGGUUCGGUUAGUCGGGUGUGAAACCUCUGGGCUCAACUCAGAGACGCCACCCGAUACUGCUGUGACUAGAGUGCGGUAGGGGAGCGGGGAAUUCCUGGUGUAGCGGUGAAAUGCGCAGAUAUCAGGAGGAACACCAGUGGCGAAGGCGCCGCUCUGGGCCGUAACUGACGCUGAGAAGCGAAAGCGUGGGGAGCAAACAGGAUUAGAUACCCUGGUAGUCCACGCCGUAAACGUUGGGCACUAGGUGUGGGUCUCAACCAACGAGAUCCGCGCCGUCGCUAACGCAUUAAGUGCCCCGCCUGGGGAGUACGGCCGCAAGGCUA